GACGAACGCUGGCGGCGUGCUUAACACAUGCAAGUCGAACGGUGAACCUCUUCGGAGGGGAUCAGUGGCGAACGGGUGAGUAACAUGUGGGCAACCUGCCCCCGGCUCUGGGAUAACUCCAAGAAAUUGGGGCUAAUACCGGAUGUUCACCGCUUCCCGCAUGGGUGGUGGUGGAAAGGGUUUCCGGCUGGGGAUGGGCCCGCGGCCUAUCAGCUUGUUGGUGGGGUAGUGGCCUACCAAGGCGACGACGGGUAGCCGGCCUGAGAGGGUGACCGGCCACACUGGGACUGAGACACGGCCCAGACUCCUACGGGAGGCAGCAGUGGGGAAUAUUGCGCAAUGGGCGGAAGCCUGACGCAGCGACGCCGCGUGGGGGAUGACGGCCUUCGGGUUGUAAACCUCUUUCAGCAGGGACGAAGCGCAAGUGACGGUACCUGCAGAAGAAGCACCGGCCAACUACGUG
RNAcentral lists this ribosomal RNA (463 nucleotides) under uncultured bacterium. RNAcentral's name for it is "partial 16S ribosomal RNA". It matches the Rfam family "Bacterial small subunit ribosomal RNA", at positions 28 to 507 of the family's 1533-position model. The record is from RNAcentral.